Molecule: ribosomal RNA, 253 nt
Filed under: uncultured bacterium
Lineage: Bacteria
Description: partial 16S ribosomal RNA
Rfam family: Bacterial small subunit ribosomal RNA
Source: RNAcentral
UACAGAGGUCCCAAGCGUUGUUCGGAUUCAUUGGGCGUAAAGGGUGCGUAGGCGGCGCGGUAAGUCGGGUGUGAAAUCUCGGAGCUUAGCUCCGAAACUGCAUUCGAUACUGCCGUGCUUGAGGACUGGAGAGGAGACUGGAAUUUACGGUGUAGCGGUGAAAUGCGUAGAUAUCGUAAGGAAGACCAGUGGCGAAGGCGGGUCUCUGGACAGUUCCUGACGCUGAGGCACGAAGGCCAGGGGAGCAAACGGG